CAUGUCCUUUUGAUUUGAAUUUAAGGUCUAAUCUGCUCAAUGAUUAUUUAAAUUGCCGCAGUAUUUUAACUGUGCAAAGGUAGCAUAAUAAAUAGUUUCUUAAUUAGAAGCUGGGAUGAAUGAUUGGACGAGAAAAUAACUGUCUCUUUUUAAUUGGUUAUUGAAUUUUAUUUUUAAGUAAAAAAGCUUAAAUUUAAAUAAAAGACGAGAAGACCCUAUAGAGUUUAAUAUUUGAAUAUUAUUAAUUUAUGGAAUAUUAUUUGGUGUUUAAGUAUUUAAUUGGGGUGAUUUGGAGAUUUAAAUAAUUCUUUAAUUUAUUUGUUGCUGAUUAGUAAUUUUGAAAUCUAAAAUUUUUAAGUUUAAUAUAAAUUACCUUAGGGAUAACAGCGUAAUUUUUCUUUAAAGUUCUUAUUGAAAGAAAAUUUUGCGACCUCGAUGUUGGAUUAAUAUUUAUUUUCGGAGUAGUUCCUGAAAGAUUAGGUCUGUUCGACCUUUAAAAUUUUACAUGAUCUGAGUUUAAAUCGGCGUAAGCCAGGUUGGAUUCUAUCUUUAGUUUUUUAACAUAUUUUAGUUCGAAAGGACCAAGUAUGCAUUAUAUAUUAAUUG
RNAcentral lists this ribosomal RNA (606 nucleotides) under Eropterus sp. UPOL A00548. Its description in RNAcentral is "partial 16S ribosomal RNA". It matches the Rfam family "Bacterial large subunit ribosomal RNA", at positions 1816 to 2716 of the family's 2925-position model. The record is from RNAcentral. Lineage: Eukaryota; Metazoa; Arthropoda; Insecta; Coleoptera; Lycidae.